GACGAACGCUGGCGGCGUGCUUAACACAUGCAAGUCGAACGGAAAGGCCCUGCUUUUUUGGUGUUCUCGAUUGGCGAACGGGUGAGUAACACGUGAGUAACCUGCCCUUGAUUUUGGGAUAACUUCAGGUAACUGGGGUUAAUACCGUAUAGGAGCUCCCCUUGCAUUGUGGGCGUUGGAACUUUUCGGCUGUUGGGGAUGGACUCGCGGCUUAUCAGCUUGUUGGUUGGGUAGUUGCUUACCAAGGCUUUGACGGGUACCCGGCAUGAGAGGGUGAACGGCGUCAUUGCGACUAAGGUACGGACCAGACUGGAACGGGAGGCAGUGGUGGGAAGCAUUACACAAUGAGAGCAAGCCUGAUGAAGAGGCGCCGCGUGUGGGAAGCCGGCCUUCGGGUUGUAAAAAGCAUUAGCCUGUGACGCAGCGUGAGUGACGGUAAUGAGUAAAGAAGCACCGGCUAACUACGUG
RNAcentral lists this ribosomal RNA (468 nucleotides) under uncultured bacterium. RNAcentral describes it as "partial 16S ribosomal RNA". It matches the Rfam family "Bacterial small subunit ribosomal RNA", at positions 28 to 507 of the family's 1533-position model. The record is from RNAcentral.